UCGAAGCAAAUGGAACAUCCCGAAGAGCAUUACUACAAAAUAAAUCGACUUAUCCUGUCGUUUAGCGGACUAUGGCCUUAUCAAAGCAAGUGGAGGGCUUAUUCAAUAAGGGCUGUUAUUACUAUCAUAUUGGUGUCGUCUAUAAUUUUUCAGCUAUCGAGCCUCUAUACAUUUAACAUCGACGUGGACUUCAUAAUCGAUCUGAUACCAAUAUUUGUACCUACAUUUGGUAUGCUGAAUCACAUGUAUGCGCGUAUCAGACAUACAGACCAAGUAAGCUCGGUCGAUCAUUACUUAUUACAUUCUUACAAUAAGCUUUUAUUUAAGGGGGAAUUUAAGGAGAUGCUGGAAAUUUUCCAGAGCGUAUGCCACACAAUAUACUACAUAUGGUUGUUCGUGCCGGAAAUUCUCGAUGUUAUAUCACCCAUGAAUGAAUCCCGUUUGCGAAUGCAACCUUUUAAAGCUGAGUUCUUUAUCGAUGAGGAACGAUAUUUUUACCUCAUUCGCUUACAUAUAUGCAUCGUAAUUUUUACAGUACCAGUACUUCUCCUUGCUUAUACUACACUGUUUAUGGUUCUUGCGCAACAUGCUUGCGGAAUGUGCGAGUUGCUGGGAAUUUUCUUUUACAUUGCAAGAUUUAUUAAUAUGAUAGACAUCUUUCACACAGUACCGUUUCUAAUGGACAUCCUAGGAUUAAUAUUUGUGAUAAGCUUUGCAAUGAUUCAGAUGCUAACCAUUGGCAACGAUUUUGAUCGAGCCUUCAGAUCUACUGCUAUCGUUAUUGUAACACUGACGUGUCUAUUUGCAUUUAAUUACAUGGGACAAAGAAUCAUGGACGCAAGUUCGAGCGCAUGCGAGAAGGUAUACAACUGUAUGUGGUACAAUGCAGAUGUUUCAGACCAGAAAUUGUUAAUAUUAAUAUUGAAACGACGCUUCCGUCCGCUUGUCUUAACUGCUUCUAAAUUUUACGUAAUGUCCUUGCAAAAUUUUGGAAGGGUAAGGAAAAAUCAGAAUAUAUAUCGAUCACGAAAAUUGCAAUGAUGAAGGUAUAAAAAAUGUUCAUCUUCUUAAGAUUCUUCAAACGAUAAUCUCCUAUUGCAUGUUUAUGAGGCAAUUUUGAGGACACUUCCAUCAGCUGUAGACGCAGACAUAAGAAUAGAAAAUGUAGCCUUUUUAGCACGUAGCCUAUCUGAGUCUACGUUGAUCUACGAGAGGACAUCAUCAUGUCAGUGGUCUCAUAUUUAAAUUCUUUGCAAAGAAACAAAUUUGUUAGUACGUUUGGCAGAAAAAGGAUCCACGUAUUUAAGACAACGCUGAAGGAAUAUUAACUGCAAAACGUAGAGAUAAGUUUACUAAAGUGUGCUAUGUUAAUAUGUUGUAGUAAAAAACUCUGAAAAAAUUAUCCGUGCGAAUGAAAUAAUCUCAAACAAUAUCACUGAUCCAAUUUAUGUUAUUUGGGUAUUUUUGAAAGAUCAAAAUGUCUCCGAUUGGUGAAAUAAAUAAAUUCAUUUGUGCGAAGAGUUCAAAAUGUACAACAUCCUUCACAAGUCACGUAUCCACUACGAGACCCCGUGAUCCUUUGCGAUGCAUCGGAUCGGCGAAAAGUCGGUCGUAAGUCGUGAAGUGGAGUCACCGGCGUCCAUGGAAGCCGGUUUAAUAACAUUAAUGAAGGAACAGCCCGCGCGAGCGAGAGAGCAGGCGAGCGCCCCUCGUCUCCCCCUCGAGAUUUUCCUCCCCGCCCCUUCUCUCAUUCUUUAUCCUUAGAGGAAAUAAAACCAGAGUUGUAAGAGCCGAAUGAUUAAUAUCCAGCCGACAGUUUGUGAAGCGGGCAGCCAAUAAACGGGAUAAAAAUACUCGUGAAAAAUAGCGCGCUCAUUAGGGGUACAGUGACAUCUGCGACUGCCUGCCUCUUGAGUGCUCUCGCGCUCUCGCGAGCAGCCCGGAGAAGGCGGGUCGAAGAGGCCGAUGGGGUGAGCAGGCAAAGGAGAAGAGAGCGACGGAGGGGGGGUGGGAGGCAGCUCCGGUGGAGGAACGGAGCGCCGGAAAACGGAGGGACAGAUUUAUUAAAGUAAUGGCAGAUUAUUUUAAUAUUCCGAUGGGAGUGCGCGCUCCAUUCGUUGUCUCGCGCCAAUUCAAUAAUCCGCGCCCGGCCGAUCCUUUUCUCGCUGG
Molecule: small RNA, 2169 nt
Filed under: Monomorium pharaonis (pharaoh ant)
Lineage: Eukaryota; Metazoa; Arthropoda; Insecta; Hymenoptera; Formicidae
Description: uncharacterized LOC114254503
Source: RNAcentral